RNAcentral lists this ribosomal RNA (303 nucleotides) under uncultured bacterium. RNAcentral describes it as "partial 16S ribosomal RNA". It matches the Rfam family "Bacterial small subunit ribosomal RNA", at positions 507 to 807 of the family's 1533-position model. The record is from RNAcentral.
AGCAGUCGCCACGGUAAUACGGAGGGUGCAAGCGUUAUCCGGAUUUAUUGGGUUUAAAGGGUCCGUAGGCGGAUCUGUAAGUCAGUGGUGAAAUCUCACAGCUUAACUGUGAAACUGCCAUUGAUACUGCAGGUCUUGAGUAAAUUUGAAGUGGCUGGAAUAAGUAGUGUAGCGGUGAAAUGCAUAGAUAUUACUUAGAACACCAAUUGCGAAGGCAGGUCACUAAGAUUUAACUGACGCUGAUGGACGAAAGCGUGGGGAGCGAACAGGAUUAGAUACCCCCGUAGUCCCUGUCUCUUAUAC